This is a long non-coding RNA of Gadus macrocephalus (Pacific cod), 350 nucleotides long. RefSeq lists it as uncharacterized. The transcript has 2 exons. The record is from RefSeq and is a predicted model, not a curated record. NCBI's taxonomy places the organism in Eukaryota, Metazoa, Chordata, Actinopteri, Gadiformes, Gadidae.
GCAAGGACAAACGGGGUCUCGGGUUGGUUUGUGUCCUCAAUGAAGUGCACCGACUGAAGAGCAGAAGCAGGCGUCAAAGCAUUCCAACAGCCAUGAUGAGUCAUGGUUACGAAAAACACAGAAGCGACCAUGGCCCGACCGAUAUUGAUUUUUGAGUGCCGAUGCCGAUUAUUUUCAGAGAAAAAUUACGAUUACGAUUUAAUCGGCCGAUUAAAAAAAUAAAAAAAUAAAAAAAAUAAAAAUAUAAAACGUAGUUUUUGAUACCUUAAAUAUACUUUAAACACUUUUGACGAAUAUGUGAAUUGAAUGCAGAACCUUUGAGUGUUUUAGAAUACAUUUAUAGUCAAAAA